RNAcentral lists this ribosomal RNA (605 nucleotides) under crenarchaeote SCGC AAA001-I14. Its description in RNAcentral is "SSU rRNA". It matches the Rfam family "Archaeal small subunit ribosomal RNA", at positions 365 to 971 of the family's 1478-position model. Lineage: Archaea; Thermoproteati; Thermoproteota. The record is from RNAcentral.
GCACGACAAGGUUAAUCCGAGUGAUUUCUGCUAAAGGAAUCUUUUGUUAGUUCUAAAAAUACUAGUGAAUAAGGGGUGGGCAAGUUCUGGUGUCAGCCGCCGCGGUAAAACCAGCACCUCAAGUGGUCAGGAGGAUUAUUGGGCCUAAAGCAUCCGUAGCCUGUUCUAUAAGUUUGCGGUUAAAUCUAUACGCUCAACGUAUAGGCUGCCGUAAAUACUGUAGAACUAGGGAGUGGGAGAGGUAGACGGUACUCGAUAGGAAGGGGUAAAAUCCUUUGAUCUAUUGAUGACCACCUGUGGCGAAGGCGGUCUACCAGAACACGUUCGACGGUGAGGGAUGAAAGCUGGGGGAGCAAACCGGAUUAGAUACCCGGGUAGUCCCAGCUGUAAACGAUGCAGACUCGAUGAUGCAAUGGCAUAGAGCUAUUGCAGUAUCGCAGGGAAGCCGUUAAGUCUGCCGCCUGGGAAGUACGUACGCAAGUAUGAAACUUAAAGGAAUUGGCGGGGGAGCACCACAAGGGGUGAAGCCUGCGGUUCAAUUGGAGUCAACGCCAGAAAUCUUACCCGGAGAGACAGCAGAAUGAAGGUCAGGCUGAAGACCUUAC